GAUGAACGCUGGCGGCGUGCCUAAUACAUGCAAGUCGAGCGAACAGAUGAGGACCUUGCUCCUCUGACGUUAGCGGCGGACGGGUGAGUAACACGUGGAUAACCUACCUAUAAGACUGGGAUAACUUCGGGAAACCGGAGCUAAUACCGGAUAAUAUAUUGAACCGCAUGGUUCAAUAGUGAAAGACGGUUUUGCUGUCACUUAUAGAUGGAUCCGCGCCGCAUUAGCUAGUUGGUAAGGUAACGGCUUACCAAGGCAACGAUGCGUAGCCGACCUGAGAGGGUGAUCGGCCACACUGGAACUGAGACACGGUCCAGACUCCUACGGGAGGCAGCAGUAGGGAAUCUUCCGCAAUGGGCGAAAGCCUGACGGAGCAACGCCGCGUGAGUGAUGAAGGUCUUCGGAUCGUAAAACUCUGUUAUUAGGGAAGAACAAAUGUGUAAGUAACUAUGCACGUCUUGACGGUACCUAAUCAGAAAGCCACGGCUAACUACGUG
Molecule: ribosomal RNA, 497 nt
Filed under: uncultured bacterium
Lineage: Bacteria
Description: partial 16S ribosomal RNA
Rfam family: Bacterial small subunit ribosomal RNA
Source: RNAcentral